RNAcentral lists this ribosomal RNA (361 nucleotides) under uncultured bacterium. RNAcentral's name for it is "bacterial SSU rRNA". It matches the Rfam family "Bacterial small subunit ribosomal RNA", at positions 28 to 416 of the family's 1533-position model. The record is from RNAcentral.
GACGAACGCUGGCGGUGUGCUUCACACAUGCAAGUCGAACGAGGUAGCAAUACCUAGUGGCGGACGGGUGAGUAACGCGUGGGAAUCUGCCCAUAGGUGGGGGAUAACUAGCCGAAAGGUUAGCUAAUACCGCAUAUGCCGAGAGGUAAAAGGAGUAAUCCGCCUUUGGAUGAGCCCGCGUCCGAUUAGCUAGUUGGUAGGGUAAAAGCCUACCAAGGCUACGAUCGGUAGCUGGUCUGAGAGGAUGAUCAGCCACACUGGGACUGAGACACGGCCCAGACUCCUACGGGAGGCAGCAGUGGGGAAUAUUGCGCAAUGGGCGAAAGCCUGACGCAGCGACGCCGCGUGGGUGAUGAAGGCC